GACGAACGCUGGCGGCGUGCCUAAUACAUGCAAGUAGAACGCACAGUUUAUACCGUAGCUUGCUACACCAUAGACUGUGAGUUGCGAACGGGUGAGUAACGCGUAGGUAACCUGCCUGGUAGCGGGGGAUAACUAUUGGAAACGAUAGCUAUACCCCAUAAUUAUUAUUUUUUCCUGGUAAUUUAUUGAAAGAUUCUAUUUCAUCCAUAACAGAAGGAACUGCGUUGUAUUAGCUAGUAGGUGAGGUAACGGCUCACCUAGGCGACGAUACAUAGCCGACCUGAGAGGGUGAUCGGCCACACUGGGACUGAGACACGGCCCAGACUCCUACGGGAGGCAGCAGUAGGGAAUCUUCGGCAAUGGACGAAAGUCUGACCGAGCAACGCCGCGUGAGUGAAGAAGGUUUUCGGAUCGUAAAGCUCUGUUGUAAGAGAAGAACGGGUGUGAGAGUGGAAAGUUCACACUGUGACGGUAUCUUACCAGAAAGGGACGGCUAACUACGUG
Molecule: ribosomal RNA, 504 nt
Filed under: uncultured bacterium
Lineage: Bacteria
Description: partial 16S ribosomal RNA
Rfam family: Bacterial small subunit ribosomal RNA
Source: RNAcentral